Molecule: ribosomal RNA, 1199 nt
Filed under: Vibrio cholerae
Lineage: Bacteria; Pseudomonadati; Pseudomonadota; Gammaproteobacteria; Vibrionales; Vibrionaceae
Description: partial 23S ribosomal RNA
Rfam family: Bacterial large subunit ribosomal RNA
Source: RNAcentral
CUUCCAGGAAAAGCCUCUAAGCUUCAGAUAGUCAGGAAUCGUACCCCAAACCGACACAGGUGGUCGGGUAGAGAAUACCAAGGCGCUUGAGAGAACUCGGGUGAAGGAACUAGGCAAAAUGGUACCGUAACUUCGGGAGAAGGUACGCUCUUGAUGGUGAAGUCCCUCGCGGAUGGAGCUGACGAGAGUCGCAGAUACCAGGUGGCUGCAACUGUUUAUUAAAAACACAGCACUGUGCAAAAUCGCAAGAUGACGUAUACGGUGUGACGCCUGCCCGGUGCCGGAAGGUUAAUUGAUGGGGUUAGCGCAAGCGAAGCUCUUGAUCGAAGCCCCGGUAAACGGCGGCCGUAACUAUAACGGUCCUAAGGUAGCGAAAUUCCUUGUCGGGUAAGUUCCGACCUGCACGAAUGGCGUAAUGAUGGCCACGCUGUCUCCACCCGAGACUCAGUGAAAUUGAAAUCGCUGUGAAGAUGCAGUGUACCCGCGGCUAGACGGAAAGACCCCGUGAACCUUUACUACAGCUUGGCACUGAACAUUGAACCUACAUGUGUAGGAUAGGUGGGAGGCUAUGAAGACGUGACGCCAGUUGCGUUGGAGCCGUCCUUGAAAUACCACCCUUGUAUGUUUGAUGUUCUAACUUAGACCCGUUAUCCGGGUUGAGGACAGUGCCUGGUGGGUAGUUUGACUGGGGCGGUCUCCUCCCAAAGAGUAACGGAGGAGCACGAAGGUGGGCUAAUCACGGUUGGACAUCGUGAGGUUAGUGCAAUGGCAUAAGCCCGCUUAACUGCGAGAAUGACGGUUCGAGCAGGUGCGAAAGCAGGUCAUAGUGAUCCGGUGGUUCUGUAUGGAAGGGCCAUCGCUCAACGGAUAAAAGGUACUCCGGGGAUAACAGGCUGAUACCGCCCAAGAGUUCAUAUCGACGGCGGUGUUUGGCACCUCGAUGUCGGCUCAUCACAUCCUGGGGCUGAAGUCGGUCCCAAGGGUAUGGCUGUUCGCCAUUUAAAGUGGUACGCGAGCUGGGUUUAGAACGUCGUGAGACAGUUCGGUCCCUAUCUGCCGUGGGCGUUGGAAGAUUGAAGGGGGCUGCUCCUAGUACGAGAGGACCGGAGUGGACGAACCUCUGGUGUUCGGGUUGUGUCGCCAGACGCAUUGCCCGGUAGCUAAGUUCGGAAUUGAUAAGCGCUGAAAGCAUCUAAGCG